GCCGCGCGAACGCGUCCCCCCUCUAUCAUAAAUUAUGACGUCCACUCUCCCACUUGAGGAGAUGGUAAGCCAGCGCAUCCAUCAGAUGCACUGUGGACCACUAGCCUAGACCACGACUCUUCAUAA
This 126-nucleotide ribosomal RNA is filed under the name Triticum aestivum (bread wheat). Its description in RNAcentral is "partial small subunit ribosomal RNA". Lineage: Eukaryota; Viridiplantae; Streptophyta; Magnoliopsida; Poales; Poaceae. The record is from RNAcentral.